AAUAUAUUCCCCAAAUCUUGCUACUCUUCUCUCUGCAUUCAUACCAAAGCUACUUUGAAACAUAGUUUUCAGUUUUCCAUCUCCAUUCACUCUGUCUCUAAUCAUGCUUCCAUGCACUGUUAUCUGAUUUUUACCCGUGAAAAAUCCACAUCACUUGUUCUGCUGCAAGUCACCUUUGACCUACUAGAUGCUAAAUCUAGAGGACAUAUUCUACACUUCACUACCUGUCCAAUGGGCAUAUUUUAAGUUUUAAAGCAUUCCAUUUUUCUUAAUAAUGUUUUUCUACCUUGACCUCUUGUCUUUCUUCAUGUUUUGUUUUUUCACCCAGUUCCUAGAAAAUUGAUUUUUUUUCCCCCUAGGAUCUUGUAUUUGGUCUUUUUUUUACUCUACCCAUUAUCCCUGUGUGGAAUGUCUAACUUCAGUACUUCAACCACUGAGCUAGCAAAUUCUGCACUGAAAUAUUCACAUGAGCACACUCCUCUGAGUCUUAAUCAUGUAUAUACAACAGUGUACUAGGUAUAAAAUUUGACUGUAUCUGAUUAACCUUGAAAAUAUUACUAGGUUCCUAAAAAAUGUCCUUGUUUGAAGAUGGGGCCAUCAUCAUCAUCAUCAGAAAUAAUUGUCUCAUAGAGGUUUUCUUGAGAAGAAAAAAUGAGAUAACAAGUAAAAAUGGAUUAUUAAAGGGCAUGCUAGUUAAUAUCUGAAUUAUUAAUUAUGUUAUAUCACAACAUGUAUUUUAUCUAAACUGUCUUUCAAUCUAUUGAUGUGAUGAAUUACAUUUAUUGAUUUCCAUAUGUUGAACCAACCUUACAUCUCUGAGAUGAACUCCACUUGAUCAUGGUGCACUAGCUUUUGAAUAUUUUGUUGUAUGUGAUUUGCCAGUAUUUUGUUAAGAAUUUUUGCAUCUGUAUUCAUGAGUGAUAUUGGUAUGAAGUUUUCUUUCUUUCAUGUGUCUUUGUCUGGUUUUGUUAUCAGAGUGAUACUAGCUUUAUAGAAUGAGUUGGGAAGGUUUCCUCCUUUUCUAUUUUACUGAAUAAUUUGGGGAGGAUUGGUGUUAGAUCUUUCUUGAAGAUCUAGUAGAACUCUUACCUGUUUCUUUCACGUUUCCUGUCAACUGGA
RNAcentral lists this long non-coding RNA (1119 nucleotides) under Marmota monax (woodchuck). Lineage: Eukaryota; Metazoa; Chordata; Mammalia; Rodentia; Sciuridae. The record is from RNAcentral.